Molecule: transfer RNA, 72 nt
Filed under: Bos taurus (domestic cattle)
Lineage: Eukaryota; Metazoa; Chordata; Mammalia; Artiodactyla; Bovidae
Also listed under: 1 other name
Rfam family: tRNA
About the family: Transfer RNA (tRNA) molecules are approximately 80 nucleotides in length. Their secondary structure includes four short double-helical elements and three loops (D, anti-codon, and T loops).
Source: Rfam by way of RNAcentral
UCCCUGAUGGUCCAGUGGUUAGGACUCUGCACUUUUAGCUUCCUGGCCUGGGUUCAGUCCCCAAUCAGGGAA